This is a long non-coding RNA of Magnolia sinica, 1037 nucleotides long. RefSeq lists it as uncharacterized. The record is from RefSeq and is a predicted model, not a curated record. NCBI's taxonomy places the organism in Eukaryota, Viridiplantae, Streptophyta, Magnoliopsida, Magnoliales, Magnoliaceae. The transcript has 3 exons.
AAAAAAAAAAACAGUUACAUUAUGUGCUGUUCGAAAACUGCAUUAGUCAAUAAGUCCUCUUGGUACUUUGCUAGAAUAUUUUGAACAUGUACAUAUGAGAGUGCUGAUGGUUAACAUUUGCAUUUACUUCCUGUCACAAAAUGCAUUCAACAGUACUCAUCUUAUCUUCAUAACACAAGUAUAACACAAGUAUCAUUUGGACCAACCCCUUUAUCUUUAUUCCAUAUAUGUUUGUUUGUGGGUUUUUUUUUUUGAUGAAUUUCAUUUCUCUUUUUUACUCCUUGGAUGUAUAUAUGCUGCCAUUAAGGAAAAUUGGAAUCAGGAUAUCAGCUUAGCACUUGUUUGGGUGUUACACAAAAUGUGGACAGGACAGAUGAACCAAUCCGCAGGUGGGAUGAAAGCCAACACUUCCAUCUCAUCUGGGAUUUGGGGUCCGCAAUGCUCUGCUUAGAGAGCAUGGCUAGACAAACAGUUACGCUUCUUGACUUAUUGGAUGACUAGAUUAUGGUGUUACUUUACAACCCACCAGACUCGAAUACUUUUAAUUUGCUCAUGACAUUCACUAUAUCAAUGGAUGGAUUCUUUAUCAUAUUAGAAAUGUUCUCUCCUGCUAAUAUUUGUUUGUAUGGGUUAAUAGAUUUCUUUGCUUGAUUUGGUUGCAGAUCAAGUUUCAUGUAUCUGUUUGUUAAUACAAAAGGGCGGUUGCAUCUGUUGAAUACAUAUCCAGUAUAGUUGCCAGUUUAGAGCCCCUAAUUCAAUCCAUGGAUGGACAAAGCCAUUCAGGGAACUUGCUUUUGCUUGAACAGAAUUGUAGAGGAGGAAAAUUUAAUGUGUGGAUGAAGCGGCGCAAUGGAAGAGUAAGAGUGAUUUGUGAAGAGUUUCAUAUGGAGCAAGCAGGCAUUAAAUUUGUAGUUGUUUCUUCUGGAAGUGUGGUGAUCAAUCAAACCCUUUUGCCUAAGGUACAAUUCAAUCUCCAGCUAUCAUAAAAGGAACGGGUAGAUAAGGCAAAUGUUAUACUUCCAUUUAAACACCAAGGU